This 758-nucleotide ribosomal RNA is filed under the name uncultured Gammaproteobacteria bacterium. RNAcentral's name for it is "bacterial SSU rRNA". It matches the Rfam family "Bacterial small subunit ribosomal RNA", at positions 8 to 761 of the family's 1533-position model. The record is from RNAcentral. Lineage: Bacteria; Pseudomonadati; Pseudomonadota; Gammaproteobacteria.
AGAGUUUGAUCCUGGCUCAGAUUGAACGCUGGCGGCAGGCCUAACACAUGCAAGUCGAGCGGAUGAAGGGAGCUUGCUCCUGGAUUCAGCGGCGGACGGGUGAGUAAUGCCUAGGAAUCUGCCUGGUAGUGGGGGAUAACGUCCGGAAACGGGCGCUAAUACCGCAUACGUCCUGAGGGAGAAAGUGGGGGAUCUUCGGACCUCACGCUAUCAGAUGAGCCUAGGUCGGAUUAGCUAGUUGGUGGGGUAAAGGCCUACCAAGGCGACGAUCCGUAACUGGUCUGAGAGGAUGAUCAGUCACACUGGAACUGAGACACGGUCCAGACUCCUACGGGAGGCAGCAGUGGGGAAUAUUGGACAAUGGGCGAAAGCCUGAUCCAGCCAUGCCGCGUGUGUGAAGAAGGUCUUCGGAUUGUAAAGCACUUUAAGUUGGGAGGAAGGGCAGUAAGUUAAUACCUUGCUGUUUUGACGUUACCAACAGAAUAAGCACCGGCUAACUUCGUGCCAGCAGCCGCGGUAAUACGAAGGGUGCAAGCGUUAAUCGGAAUUACUGGGCGUAAAGCGCGCGUAGGUGGUUCAGCAAGUUGGAUGUGAAAUCCCCGGGCUCAACCUGGGAACUGCAUCCAAAACUACUGAGCUAGAGUACGGUAGAGGGGUGGUGGAAUUUCCUGUGUAGCGGUGAAAUGCGUAGAUAUAGGAAGGGACACCAGUGGCGAAAGCGACCCCUGGACUGAUACUGACACUGAGGUGCGAAAGCG